RNAcentral lists this ribosomal RNA (279 nucleotides) under uncultured bacterium. RNAcentral's name for it is "partial 16S ribosomal RNA". It matches the Rfam family "Bacterial small subunit ribosomal RNA", at positions 506 to 784 of the family's 1533-position model. The record is from RNAcentral.
UGCCAGCCGCCGCGGUAAUACAGAGGGUGCAAGCGUUAAUCGGAAUGACUGGGCGUAAAGGGCGUGUAGGUGGUUUGACAAGUGAGGUGUGAAAACCCUGGGCUUAACCUAGGACGUGCAUCUGAUACUGUCAGACUAGAGUAUAGGAGAGGAAAGGGGAAUUUCCGGUGUAGCGGUGAAAUGCGUAGAUAUCGGAAGGAACACCAGUGGCGAAGGCGCCUUUCUGGCCUAAUACUGACACUGAGGCGCGAAAGCGUGGGUAGCGAACAGGAUUAGAUA